UUUUUAUUUUUGAAAAAUGCAUUUUAACUCAUUUUUAAUUUGAUUUUUAAUUAUGUUUAAAAAUAUUCUUGAGCCAUUUGGUUGACCUUGUGUUGUAUGACUUUCUGUUUGGCCUUGAUCAUGGUUGAUUUGAACUUCCAUUUGAUCAAUACCAUUGGAUUUAGGGGGUUAAUGAAAUGUACAUUUUAUCCCUCAAAAUGAAUGGAUAGUAUUGAUCAGAUUAAAUUCCUCUUGUGAUCAAUUUAGGUUUCUAUUUCCC
This 259-nucleotide long non-coding RNA is filed under the name Lathyrus oleraceus (garden pea). Its description in RNAcentral is "Pisum sativum (pea) long non-coding RNA (PSAT_LNC001887)". Lineage: Eukaryota; Viridiplantae; Streptophyta; Magnoliopsida; Fabales; Fabaceae. The record is from RNAcentral.